Molecule: ribosomal RNA, 497 nt
Filed under: uncultured bacterium
Lineage: Bacteria
Description: partial 16S ribosomal RNA
Rfam family: Bacterial small subunit ribosomal RNA
Source: RNAcentral
GAUGAACGCUGGCGGCGUGCCUAAUACAUGCCAGUCGAGCGAACAGACGAGGAGCUUGCUCCUCUGACGUUAGCGGCGGACGGGUGAGUAACACGUGGAUAACCUACCUAUAAGACUGGGAUAACUUCGGGAAACCGGAGCUAAUACCGGAUAAUAUAUUGAACCGCAUGGUUCAAUAGUGAAAGACGGUUUUGCUGUCACUUAUAGAUGGAUCCGCGCCGCAUUAGCUAGUUGGUAAGGUAACGGCUUACCAAGGCAACGAUGCGUAGCCGACCUGAGAGGGUAAACGCCCACACUGGAGCUGAGGGACGGGCCAGACUCCUACAGGGAGCAGCAGUAGGGAAUCAUCCGCGAUGGGCGAAAGCCGGACGGAGCAACGCCGCGGGAGUGAUGAAGUUCUUCGGAUCGUAAAACUCUGUUAUUAGGGAAGAACAAAUGUGUAAGUAACUAUGCACGUCUUGACGGUACCUAAUCAGAAAGCCACGGCUAACUACGUG